Molecule: non-coding RNA, 7765 nt
Organism: Microcebus murinus (gray mouse lemur)
Lineage: Eukaryota; Metazoa; Chordata; Mammalia; Primates; Cheirogaleidae
Source: RefSeq, a predicted model, not a curated record
UCAAACAUGAGCAGAGGUUUUGAAAGAGACUGAGCCAGGGCCUUCUUUCUCCCAGCUGGUACAAAUGACCACCUAUUUCAGCUUUCAGAAGAGUUUGAGCAUUACUUCUCAACCACCAGGGACCCCCAAACUGGGAAGGCAUGGAUCUUCAACCCAUGCCUGAAUAAGCCAGGUAAAUCGACUUUGUCCGUACUAGAAGAAGAUAACUGCUUGAGGCUGCAAAUGACAGUGGCUUUGAAAGGAUGUUUGAGACAGCUUCAAAUUUCCACAGGUUCUGGAUUAAAGUCAGGGAGGAAUAUCCUGAGACCGCCACAAAAGUACUGAAAACCCUACUUCCACUUCUGACAUCCUAUCUUUGUGAAGCAGAGUUUUCUGCAGUGACAGCAACAAAAAACGAGAUUCCAGAGUAGACUGGACAUAAGCAACACACUUCGGGUGUCACUGUCUCUCAUCGCGCCCAGAUGGGACCAUCUAGUCGCAGGAAAACAAGCUCAGCACCCCCACUAUUCCAAAUGAUGCAUUGUAAGUUAAGGAGGAAAAGUAACAAAGAGCUUGAAGACAUGCACAGCUCCCAGGCCCUGGGUGGAGGCUGGCAGCAGAGACUCUGAGGGGCAACCAGGAGGUGCCUGUGACUGCAGGACACAGAUGGUGAGAGCCAUUGAAUAUUUGCAUGUAGGAAAAUUACAUGGUCAUACCUGUGACUUGGAAUAGAGUGUAACGGAUCUUUGAAAAGAAGUUGGACGCAGGUCACCUGGUAGAGGCAAGGAUAUGAAUCAGAGAAAAGAACUGAAGUCUUGUCCCAGGAAGAAAGGGGAGGGCAGGCAGAGGAUUUUUCACUGACUUGUCUUUGGAAAAGAUUAGAAGAGCCUGUGAACUUGGCUUCCUCACUUCUGUUUCUCAGGUGAGUACCACUCCUAUUUCUAUUCUGCCAGUAUCAUUAAAGAACAUUUUCCCAGAUUUCUGUUGAAGAACUGCCUUUUUUUUUUUUUUUAAUCUUUGUGAUGCUGACACUCUUUUAGAAUUAACCAUGGAAAAACUUGAUGACACUUCCAUGUUUCUUGUAAAAUUCAUCUUUGGAGUAAUUUUACGGUGUGUGUUUUCCCCUUGGAUGUUUUAAAGAGCUGGAUUUCCUUCUCUUUGCAGAGCAUUCUAGCAGCUGUGUCUCAUUUGCUCUGCAAGGGCAUUUGAAGAAAUUGCUAUUUUAGAAGCUGCUUAACAUAUGGGAUAAUUGUUUUAAAGCACUUUACAGUUUGCAUAGUGCUUUCUCAUUAUUUUACCCAGCCAUUUCUCAUAGAAGCCCAGGACAUAUUAUUUACAUUUUUCAGAAAAAGAAAUAAAGCUACUGAAGACAUCACAUAACAGCAGCUUGGCAGGGCAAUUAAUCUUCUAAAUUAAUCAACAGAUUAAAAUCUCUUCCUUCAGAUCCUUUGAUACCUAUGACCAGAAACCCUCCUGCCUUUUGACCUGAACAGGUAGACAGCAAUACCAGCUGUGCACGGGAGUGUGUAGUCUAGCUAGUUUUAGGUCCACCCUAACAAAGAGCUGCCUCAGCGAUUAGAUACAAGGACACUGUUUGAAGAGAUUGGACACUAUUUGGCUAGUUUUAUUAAAAGUGGUGUAGUGGGUGGCUAAAAGCACUGGUUUUGGAGUCAGACUUGCUGUGUGUAAAUGUAAGCUCCAACUACAUCAGCUGCGAGACAUUCGUGAAUUAUUUAAUGUGUCAGACUCAUUUAUGCUAUCCAUGAAAUGGGAGCAAUAGUUUCUACUUCAUGAGAUUAUUGUUAUGAGGCUUAAUCAGACAAUCCAUAUAAAGUUCUAAACACCAUGCCAGCACUCAGUAAGUAAGGCCUUAGUAAAUGUUUGCUAUUGCCAUGCAGUGGUUCCAAAGGUGGUCACCUGGUCAGUUUUCCUGAGGUUCAUUUAAGUUGAUUUGUUUCAUGAAAUUAUACAUAUGGCCCAGUCCAGACUGGGGAUAGUUAGUAGCCUUAAGAGGUAAUUGGUGGUGUAGACAGAACUUAUACUGGUGUUUCCUCUGCUUUAGAGAACUGUCAUAAUUAUAACUUAUUCUAUUCUUUAAAACACAAAGCGGCAGUGUCAUUCCUCCUAAAUAAUGCGUAAUACAGACAAAGGACCCCAUUCAAUAUGCCCGUGGUAUUUCAGCUUGGCACUUUGGGAAUGGUAGUACACAAAAAGGCAGAAGAUGGUAUGGAUUUUCUUAAAGUUCAAGGUGAAAGUAAGGUACAGAAGGAAUAACAGGAAUCUAUUUAGUUGUGAGUGGGCUUUCAUUGGCACACAGAGGACUCAGUCCCAUAUCUGCGUGUUGCUUGCAGAGUAAACUCGGAAAAGCAUUUUGCUUCUCUGUACCUUUGUUUCUCCAGUUACAAAGAGGAAUUGUAAUACCUGUAGGAUGGCCAACUUGUCCCCUAUUUGCCUGGGCCAUUCCCAUGGCAAAUGCUGUAUGUCCCAGGAACCUUCACAGUCUUGGAGAAAACUGGGAUGAUUGGUCACCCUAAGUACCUGCCCCUCUCAUCUUACUGUAUUCACCCUCCAGGCAGUAGGUACAAAGGUGCUUUGACAUUUCAUGAACUGAAGAAUAUAAUCAACUCAAUUCUGAACACCUAAGGUCCAAAAAUAGUGCUUUGGGUUAUUGGAAGGAAAGCAGAGUGAUGUAGUGUUUAUAGGAUAUUAUGUCUUAAGUAAGAAUAUUGCAACUUAUUCUUGGUGCAUCAUUUUAUAAACUGCUUGGGAAUAUGUAAUAUGACUGGAAAAUCCUAUCCAAGGGUAUACUGUGUUAUAUAUCAUCCUUAUUAAGUGUUUACAUGUAUGUAAUUGAAAGUACACACAAGCAUAUUCAUAUAACAUUUAGGACAAGUACUUUAAGGUUAUCAUGAAGAUAAUUUGCAUUGAAAAGACCUCAUUUGGAUCAACUUUACUUCUUGAGAAGUUAUGUUUUGCACCCAACGCAUAUUUUGGAAGUGAUUACCAUUUAUAAUAAAUUAAUCAGUGAUUUGUCUUAGAAAACUUCAAAGGAAAACAUAAUAGUCUGGGGAAGAUGGCAUAACUGACCAUCUACUUGGUAUCAUAAAAAUAAGUACCCACCAAGGAAAAAUAGUACAUUACUGGGAAUUAACUUGAGGCAGCAUUUCAAUUAAUUAAUGCACACAGGAAUUAGAACAGUUUCAAAAAAAACGAUUCAUUUAGUUUGCUUUCACAUAAUGUAGAGAUUGUACUUGAGUGAAACUUCAAAAUGUACAAGCAAGCAUGCACUUGCUUGAAAAAUGAAGUUUUUUUUAUUGGCUUUUAUUUGUGUUCUACCUAGAAGCAUCUUAUCAGAAUCAAGCCAGUGCACACCCUAUAAAUGCCAAAGUGAGGCUUCUUGUAGACAUGCAUUGCAGAGAUAAAUAAUGUUAAUACAUAUGCAGUAUGUAUUUGUAAAAGCAUAAAAACAGGCAAAUUUGGUCAAACUCAGUUGCUUACUUAUGUUAAUAGAAGAAACGUUUAUUUAAAAAGUUAGACUCAUUUUUGCUCAUUUAUUGCAUGGCUGUGAAAAGGGAACAUGUAGACCUCUGUUAAGGGUUGGCAAGAGACUCGAAGACCCUGAACAUGUCACACAGUCUUUCUUCAUCUACCCCAGGGGACCUGCUGCAGCCCUGAGUCCAUGGUACUCAGGAAUAUCUUAUUAACGUAUAUUGAAUGUUCUUUGUAUUAAUGAUCAUUCAAAAUAACACAAUAAAACCAGAGUGAAAGGGCAUGGCCUACCAUUCCACAUUCAACUUUUCCCCAAGGAAUGAACUAUUUUACCUCUCAGACAGAAGCAAAGAACUCAUUCAGAAGCAGAGCAGAAGGCCGUUGGAGUUAUUGUUGUUUAUAUUCCCCUGGACAGAGGAAUAAUUAUGUCGGCUUCAAAGGCCUUUUCUUCCACCUUCCAUCUUGGCAUGCUCCUGCAGGAAGAAGCCUCCAUUCUAUUCCUACACUUUACAAAUGGAAACCCAGAAAAGGGAAUAUUUGUCCAAGGUCACAGAUGCAAACCUUCUCAGAUGUUUGCUAAUCCUAAUUUAAUUUUCCCACACUUCGCCAAAUGCAGCUGUAGGUAAUCUUUUUGGGUUUGGCCCUGUUUUAGUGUAGGAAAUACUCUCUUCCCUGGGCCCUCCCCACCAUCCACUGUGAUCAAGAGCCCAUCACUCCUUAGGCAGCAAUACUUUCUUCUCUUGCUUUCUAAUGGCAUUGUCUUUGCUGAGCCAGCACACCAGUACCUCCACUCCAAGGUCUCAAGAUAAGGGCAUCUUCUUGAUGACCCAAAGUGCUGUCUCAAUAUAAGGGCCAUUCCUGCAUUUCUCUUUAGACCUACUGUCUUUGAUACAGUGAUGCAUCACUCCAGGCUUGCCCUGAUUUCUCUCAGCCUUCAGUGAUAUGAGUCAGGUCUUUGCCUUAUGGUUAAUUUAGCUGGUGAUGAGGGCAAGCUGGAACUUGUGAGGAGAGACAUACACUGCAGCAAACUGAGGUCAGAGCUUGAACAGAACCCUCGAGAAGACAGAUUGCCUGUGGCAGCGAGAGCAUCAUUCCCCAGACAGUAGUGAUGCAGACAGAAGGUAGAAAAAUGACAGUCUCCUUGGAGGGGCAUAUGAGGGCACAAAGAUUUUUCAAAACUCAGCCCCACAGAGAGGAAAUCUGCUUGAUGUUUAUUCAGGCCCCUUCCUUUUAAAUCUUGAUUACCCUUGGCUCUGCUAGGCGCUGAAAUUUAUGCACCAGCGACAGGUGAUUCUUAUGUAAGAAUGGAAUCUUGGGUGUGAUAAAUUUGGUCUUGAGAAAUCUCUGCUUAGUUGCUGCAGAUGGCAGUGUCAUGAUGGCCAGAGUUAGACAGCGGUGACCUGCUGGGCUGUGGGCUGGGAAAUGGCUACUCAGCUCCGAGCUGUCUGGGUCAAUUCCUUGUGCCUCAAGGUCAUGACCAUGUGGGCACAGCCCAACUGUAGAGUUGACAUUCAUACUAGCAACAUCCUUUCCUACUCCAUUAGACAAUGUUACUAGCUCACCCCAAUGUCCCUCAGGAAACAAGUGGUACCCUGAGUUCUCUGCGUACAGCUUUAUAAUUUGGGGUCUCUAUCAUGACUAGUCCUGUUAAGGGUCAGUUCUAUGCUUGUAAAGAAUUGCUUAUACUGGAGAAUUUGCAUCACCUGGCUUGGUUUGGCCGUGGAGCCACCUCUAUGCACUCCAUCCCAGUCAGGUCCAUCUGUGAUCUAGGAUUCUUCUUCAGUGGCAACUUUCAGGUCACAUAUUCUUAGCCUUAUUGUUGAAAUUUCCAAAAAGUACACACACACACAAUUGUGAACAUAUAGGCCUUUCUCUAGGGAGAGGGUCUACAGCUUUCAUUAAAUUGUUGCAGAGGUUUGAGAUACAACAAAUAGUAAGAGUCACUAUGUAAAUGAAGAAAUAUUCUGAAGUAUCCCUUGUUUUUAUUUCCAACUAGUUUCCCACAUUGAAUUUCAGAUCGAACUUGAUCAGAAAUUAGCAAUAUAGGUUAAGAUUGGGAGUCAGCUAGACCCUUAAUCCUGGCUUAAACUCCUACUGUACAUUUUCUGACUGUGUGAGCUUAAACAUGUUGCUACUCUAUGUCUCACAUCCUUAUUUAGAAAAUUGAUAAAAUGGAAAAAAUACCAGCUGCUUCAUUAUGCUAUUGUGAGAAUUAAAUGAGGCUGUAUAUAAAUCUUGUGAUGUCCCUGGCAUUUGAGAAACAUGUAAUAAACAGGAGCUAGUAGUGGUAGGGGUCACAUGGAACUCAUGUUUCUGGAGCAUGUGGGCUGACACCCAAUGCCACGAAUCUUCUUCUUUUCUACGUUUUUGAAUAUUUUAUCCUGCCUUUGUUUACUGAGUCGUUAGCUGCCAUUCCAUACUCCUCAUAAGCAUCAACAUAUUUAACCACCGCUCUUAAGAGAUGCCACAUUCUUAUUCUUUAGCCCACUUCCUACAGGCAAAAGAAUGAAAAUAACUGGCAUUAGACUCCUGGCACUCCAUUUUACAAGUGUUACUCUCUUUUAAAAUGAAAACAUCCUGUUUCAAUAAUUUUUAGAAUUCAUCAAAAAUCAUAUGUAAUGUGUAGUUUACCUAGGGACACCAUUUUCUUACCUUACUUUAUUUGCACUAGCCCACUUCAAUUCCUAGCAUAGUAAAUACCUCCUAUAGUAGAUGUUUGCUGAACGAAUGAAAAAGAAACUCCUAACUUAAACUAAAAAGAAAGGAUGUGGCAAUGAGAGCAUUAGUUGUUUUGCUAGUGAUUCUCUUGUCCAUUCUUCUCUCUAAAGACCACUGCAAAUAUGACUUAUCUUGGAAACUAUAAAAAAGGCUAACUUUCGGUUAGGACAUUCAUCAGCCUGAUAUUAAUGUGAUUUUUUUCUCUUUGGGGUUUGAGGACAACAGUAUCAAUCUCAGUCUUUCUUUUUAGAAUCAAUAUUUCCAUAGCAAAUGUAACAUAAUCCUCAAUGGGAAAUUCCAUUUUUUUUAGGCAAGAGAUGACAGUUUGGUGAGAUUGGCCAGGCAUAUUUUGAAGAGAGAAUGCACUAAAAGUGAAAAUGUUAUGUUUAUGAAACUAUCAUGACAGUUAAAUGUGAUAUACUUGAAAAACAUGGCAGGCAAUUUCACUGUAUAUCCGUGAAGUCUAUAUAUCAGCAGUAUCAAUAAAUAGAGUUCAAGGGAAUAUAAAAUUCCUCCCAUGUAUGCAUUUCUGUUAGUCUACCUUAUUGCCAUACUCCACAGAGGUAGUCAAUAAAUAUUUAUUAGAUGGAUAAUUAUACUUAUUUUAUAAUAUAAAUAACAUAUUAUUUAUAUUGUGGUGGUAAGGAAAAUGCAGUAGUCCUCUGUGUAAUAUAUUUAUGAACAUAAUAUUUCUGAAGUUCAGUUAACUUAUAAACCAUUAAAAAAAAUGCCUUCCAUCUGUUUUCUAUGACAAAUAGAAACUUGAGAGAAUAUGCAUAAAAGGCUUUUGACUGAGCCUUGUAGAGUGUGUGUGAAUUGCCAUUUAGUUUGUUAGCAUUUGAGUUUUGCAAUUACGUCCAUUCAGAUAGAACAAUCCUUUAGGAGCCUCCAACAGUCUUGUGGCUAUGCACCCGUCCCUCUUUCUCCCAAUCUUGCCUUUCAUAAAAGGAAUAAACAAGCAAAAUCGGGAUGACAUUGGCCUGCCUGAUCAGGCCCGUGAGCCCAAGUGAGGGCAGCAGCAUGUGCUGCAAGAAGUCUCAAGAGCCUGUUGUCCCAGUGGGAGGACUCACCUGGGAAGUUAGGGAGGAGAGAUAGUGGGUGGUUAGGACAGAGCUGCCUACAGCUGCCUGCUUCUUCAUGAGGUGUCAUUGAACCUGGGCAUUGGAAUCCAGAAGAAAGUGGUCAUGUGAGAGAACCAGAGAAAUAGGGAGGUCACGAUAGCAAAAGGACAUGAAACAAAGAGGUUAUCCCCCAAAGGAACAGUGGCAAUAUUCUUUCCUUUAUUGCUUUUCAAAGCCUGUACUCACCUUUGGUUACUCAGUACUGUACUUCAGAUGUGUUACUGUAUCCCUGCAUAUGCUGCCCCUUGAUCCUCCUUGUUUUGCAAGGAGUAAUAUAUUCUAGUAGUUUAUCUCACUGCAGGAUGACUAUAGUUAACCAUAAUAUAUUAUAUAGUUUCAAAUAGCUAGAAAGAGAAUGUUGAACAUUCCUGACACAAAGAACUGAUAAAUGUUUGAGAUGAUAAAUACAUGAAAUUACCCUAAUCUGAUUGCUGUACAUUAUAUGUAUCAAAAAAAUC